GUACCUUCAAGCUCUGCUUGGUGUUGGGUGUUUGUCCUCUCCAUUGCGGUUGGACUCGCCUUAAAGCGAUUGGCAGCCAGUGUAUUGGUUUUAAGCGCAGCACAUUUUGCGUCUUGCUCCCUUUAUCACUUGCGUCCAUUAAGCCUUUUAUCAC
This 154-nucleotide unclassified non-coding RNA is filed under the name uncultured Ophiosphaerella. RNAcentral describes it as "partial internal transcribed spacer 2". The record is from RNAcentral. Lineage: Eukaryota; Fungi; Ascomycota; Dothideomycetes; Pleosporales; Phaeosphaeriaceae.